AGCCACCGAACCCCCUCACUGUAGGGGUCAAGCAUUCAGUGUCUCUGGUCUGCACUGGCUGUGGACUCUAAGUUGCAAACAGAGACGGAGCAAAUCUCCAGGACCAGGGCCACAGACCCCUAGACUAGCUCCAUGCAGAGGAACUCAUCUGCUGGCUGUUAGGAGAAAAGCAAGGUGGAGGUGGCCAUAAAUAUCGAGGACUCAUGGGAAAUAAAAAAAGAGCCGUGCCAGCAAGCAUUACAAUGCUUCUUGAAUACAUCACUGUUUCUCGUGCUUAUCAUUACGAUCUGGAGGCUCAUUUAAAAAACAUGGAAACCCGCUAAAUGUAAAGAAAAGCUGAAGUCGGGCCAAAAGAAAGAGGGAAAAUGAGCUGUGAGAAUAUUGUACCUCAGUAAACAAAAAAUAAAAAACUUGCAUUUCCCUAG
Anguilla anguilla (European eel) is the source of this 425-nucleotide long non-coding RNA. RefSeq lists it as uncharacterized. The transcript is spliced from 2 exons. NCBI's taxonomy places the organism in Eukaryota, Metazoa, Chordata, Actinopteri, Anguilliformes, Anguillidae. The record is from RefSeq and is a predicted model, not a curated record.